Molecule: unclassified non-coding RNA, 422 nt
Filed under: plant metagenome
Description: partial contains 5.8S ribosomal RNA, internal transcribed spacer 2, and large subunit ribosomal RNA
Source: RNAcentral
CAAGCCGGUAGUAGGUCACCGCUUCCAUCUCACCGGCGACUGGGGCGGCGUGCUGGACUGCGAGGUCCGCGAGGUCGAACCGAACCGGGUGCUUUCCUACACUUGGAACUUUGCGCACGAGGAUGCCGCCUUCAACCUCGAGAGCGUGGUGACGUUCACGCUCACACCGACCGGCGGCGGCACGCAUCUGCGCAUGGAGCAGGCGGGCUUCCAGCCGGAUCAGAAGCAGGCUCUCGGCGGUGCCAAGGCCGGCUGGCAGCAGUUCUUCGCGAAGCUGGAGCAGUCCCUCACUCGGAUGAACUGAUUUUUCUACGCACGCUCAACCUGAAGAGGAGACCUCCAUGAAUUGGAACGUCUGGAUCCGGCAAUCCCACCGCUGGCUGGCGCUCGCCUUCACGCUCGGUUUCAUCGUCAAUCUGGUC